RNAcentral lists this ribosomal RNA (482 nucleotides) under uncultured bacterium. RNAcentral's name for it is "bacterial SSU rRNA". It matches the Rfam family "Bacterial small subunit ribosomal RNA", at positions 54 to 520 of the family's 1533-position model. The record is from RNAcentral.
CAUGCAAGUAGAACGCUGAGGGAGGAGCUUGCUUCUCUGGAUGAGUUGCGAGCGGGUGAGUAACGCGUAGGUAACCUGCCUGGUAGCGGGGGAUAACUAUUGGAAACGAUAGCUAAUACCGCAUAAUAGCAGUUGUUGCAUGACAACUGUUUGAAAGGUGCAAUUGCACCACUACCAGAUGGACCUGCGUUGUAUUAGCUAGUUGGUGGGGUAACGGCUCACCAAGGCGACGAUACAUAGCCGACCUGAGAGGGUGAUCGGCCACACUGGGACUGAGACACGGCCCAGACUCCUACGGGAGGCAGCAGUAGGGAAUCUUCGGCAAUGGACGGAAGUCUGACCGAGCAACGCCGCGUGAGUGAAGAAGGUUUUCGGAUCGUAAAGCUCUGUUGUAAGAGAAGAACGAGUGUGAGAGUGGAAAGUUCACACUGUGACGGUAUCUUACCAGAAAGGGACGGCUAACUACGUGCCAGCAGCCGCGG